AUGCUCGUUUCCUUGAUGCGAUUCCGUCCGUCGUCCUACAGCUUCUCCUGCUUGGUCUCUCCUCUCGUAUUCGUCGUCGGGCCCGUGCUGAGGCUCCAAGGAUAUGCAGGUCGACUCUCUUUUCCCUUUUCUUUAUUUGUUGGUUUCUGUAUUUUGGUUGAUGUUCGGCUCGGUGUGAUAAGCCUGUCGCUGGGUGUGUUCAUGUGCUGUUGUGAUAUGGUUGUGGUUGGGAUGGGUGCGUACAGUGGCAGACCGGGGGAUUCCUUUGUUAUAUUCCUAUGUUGGUGUGCUUUUCUUUUUCCGGUCUGGCUAGAUACACAUGUAGUGGUGUUCUUGCUGCAUAUGUGA
This 348-nucleotide ribosomal RNA is filed under the name Triticum aestivum (bread wheat). RNAcentral describes it as "partial small subunit ribosomal RNA". Lineage: Eukaryota; Viridiplantae; Streptophyta; Magnoliopsida; Poales; Poaceae. The record is from RNAcentral.